GACAGCUAUCUCCUUCAGCCAGGGCUCUUCUUGUGUGGGACUUUGGCUUACUACCUCACGUUGUAUAAGGAACAAAAAUGUGACAAAGGAUACUUCAAAAUGAGAAGAUCCUGCCAUGGAAAAGAUGACUGGGUGGACAUGAAGUGGAAAGGAGGGGAAAUAACUCACCAUGCAGCAGGACACCUUCAGCUGUGGGGUCUUUGUAAUGCAGGUUUGAUAGUUAUAUUUUCAAUAAUGAAUGGUUAGCUGUUAUGUGACAAUUAGGUCCAUUUUUUUUAGAGUAGAUGGCCAAGGAAGUUGCACAGAACUUCCCCAACAUCCCCUCCCAAAUUGACAUAGAACCUUCACAAAAACACAUGGAGCAACUGCAAAAAGAAAAUGGCUGAAGGAUAUACUAAAAAUGGCUGAGUUCAACAAAGCCAACAACUGCUUCAUGUGUGCCACUGAUAAAGAACCUGGAUGUGGGCCAAAGACUGAUUGGGUUAGUAACUUUAUUUAACAUGUUUAUAAUCUCUUGACAACAGUGACGGCAUGUAUGACAAUUUAUGAUACAACACAAUGGAUGGCUAAUUCGUCAUACUGCAUUGAUAUUUGAUAAUAUUUAU
Oncorhynchus nerka (sockeye salmon) is the source of this 605-nucleotide long non-coding RNA. RefSeq lists it as uncharacterized. NCBI's taxonomy places the organism in Eukaryota, Metazoa, Chordata, Actinopteri, Salmoniformes, Salmonidae. The transcript is spliced from 3 exons. The record is from RefSeq and is a predicted model, not a curated record.